Molecule: ribosomal RNA, 351 nt
Filed under: uncultured bacterium
Lineage: Bacteria
Description: partial 16S ribosomal RNA
Rfam family: Bacterial small subunit ribosomal RNA
Source: RNAcentral
CCUACGGGAGGCAGCAGUGGGGAAUAGUGCGCAAUGGGCGAAAGCCUGACGCAGCGACGCCGCGUGAGGGAUGAAGGUCUUCGGAUCGUAAACCUCUGUCAGCAGGGAAGAACGGUCACGGUGCUAAUCAGCAGUGAAUUGACGGUACAUGCAAAGGAAGCACCGGCUAACUCCGUGCCAGCAGCCGCGGUAAUACGGAGGGUGCGAGCGUUAAUCGGAAUUACUGGGCGUAAAGCGCUCGUAGGCGGUAUGUCCAGUCAAGGGUGAAAUCCCCGCGCUCAACGUGGGAACUGCCUUUGAAACUGGCAAACUGGAGUGUGUGAGCGGAUAGUGGACUUCCAGGUGUAGGCG